UCUCUUGUAGGUUAAUUUAGACUGUGGGUUUGUGGGAUCUAAGGUUUUGUUUUAAUAAGGGAA
RNAcentral lists this transfer RNA (63 nucleotides) under Prosthogonimus cuneatus. RNAcentral's name for it is "tRNA-His". Lineage: Eukaryota; Metazoa; Platyhelminthes; Trematoda; Plagiorchiida; Prosthogonimidae. The record is from RNAcentral.